Molecule: long non-coding RNA, 1642 nt
Filed under: Panax ginseng (ginseng)
Lineage: Eukaryota; Viridiplantae; Streptophyta; Magnoliopsida; Apiales; Araliaceae
Description: long non-coding RNA (PGIN_LNC016815)
Source: RNAcentral
UCUGAUUUUCCCUCAACUUCUUCUCCUUCUUUAAUCACUGGAACUCAGCUUCGGCCAUAAAGAAAAAAUGGCUUCCUCUUUAUCUACUAUUUCUUCUCCAUCUUUAAUCUACUGCUGAUUCUGCUUCAAAAGAAGAAGAGAUCCCAAAACCAAAAAACCCAGUUGAAGAAAUCCCAAAACAAGAAAACCCAGAUGAAAAAAUCCCAAAACAAGAAAACCCAGAGGAAAACAUCCCAAAACCAGAAAAUUUUCACCAUCAGACUCUGAGCCGGAGAAAUCUUCAGAAUUGUGACUUGCUCUCCUCCCAAAAUCCCUUCUAGAACCCCCUUUAUUCCCUUUAAUUCUGCCUGGAUCGAAAAUUUUCAUCGUCUUCAGAGCCCGAACUGGGCCCAAUGUCUUCAUCUGAGCCAUAAGUAAUCGAAUGCUCAUAAAUCAAGAUCGAUUGCUCGUUUUUGCUGCCUUUGCUGUCCUAAUUGUUACUGCUGUAUGUUCUUAACUUCCUUCUGUACUCGCUCUCGACGCUGUCAAGUUUAUUGAUUGAUCUCUUAAUACAACUAAUUUGGUAGGAGCAAUUUCGAAUUAAGCUCAAAAUAAAUUUAAAUAAAACUUUCUAAUUGCUAUUUAAUCAAGAAAAUGUUACUGCUUUUUUAGAACCUAGGGAGUAUAACGUGACUUGGUAUCCUGAUUUUUGUAUUGGGUCUUUUUGAGGAUAUUCGAAAGAUUUUUGUACUGGGUCUUUUUGUAUUGGAUCUCCAUUCCACAUGUAUCACUUCAGGAAUAUGCAGGUUAAAAUCUUGUAUGGCCGAACUUUCCUUUCGUCUCUCUAGUGAUCUAGCUAGUGCAUCCCAGAUCAACAGAUCAAUUUGGGAAUAAACCAUAAACCAGAAAAUCCUCUCUGUUUUGGAUGAAACAGAAUCAGGAAGGGUGGAUUUGGGCCUAAUUUCUUUAUUGUUUAUGUAAUUUGAGUGUUAUACGUGGAUGGAUGUGGGAAUUCUAUGCUUGAUUCAAAUUCAUAUGCUUGAUUAUUUUGUGUACUUUAAAAGACGAAAUUGAAUUUAAAAGGCAUGUGCAAUGUUCUUAUCCUACUUCUGAAUGUUCUUCUCUAUAUUCUUCCAUCAUUUCUUUUAGCUCGAAUUGGAUCAAGCGUAGAGAGAGGAUGUAGGUGGAGAGAGAAAAUGUGCUUAUAGAUUUCUAUAAGUGCAGUAAAAUUGCUCAAUUGCUCGUAGAGUAGAUUCUGUAUUGGAUUAUUUUUUUUGGUUGAGAUUAAAGCAGAGCAGAGCUUUGUAUUCUCUGCUCUUGCCUGUAAACAUGGAGGAUAAUUAAGUCUUUAACCAAAUUAAGUAACGGAGUUAAGACAGAAAUCAUUUUUUCACUUCAACUCAAAAGGUCGGGUGUUUAAAUGUAGCUUUACUGACCACAGGUGGUUAAAUGGAAAACCGUCCAAACCCCAAGUGAUCAUCUUCGAUUCUUGUGAGUAGAUACUUAUAUAUGAUGUCUAUAAUUUUCGUUUAUAUUUUUGAUGCAUAUAAUUUUCAUACGUAGAUGAUCAACAUUUCGUUCUUGCUAACAAUAUGCAUGAAUUAAAUUACGUAUAUAGUCCCACUUAUAUAACAGAUUUAAUUCAUCCCUUUUGUAUAUAUAG